Molecule: RNA transcript, 2702 nt
Organism: Oncorhynchus kisutch (coho salmon)
Lineage: Eukaryota; Metazoa; Chordata; Actinopteri; Salmoniformes; Salmonidae
Gene name: sorting nexin-3-like
Exons: 5
Source: RefSeq, a predicted model, not a curated record
AUAAAGCCAAUAAAAAGGUUUUACAUGUAAUAUGUGUUCCGUAAAGUGUAUUUUGGUAUACGUAUGUGGCGAUUUUGUUUAGUUUGUUGGGAAUCAAAUGCAAUACUUUACACAGCGCAUUUAACUCUGAUUGGUCAAUAUUUCAGAUAGUGCACUUAUCAGCCAAGAAAAUGCAAAUGCGCUGAGACAGAGGUAGUAAACAAAACACAAGGAAGGUGCCAAGCGUCAGCUGCACCUCAGCUGAUCGGAAGUGGAGCGCGCAACCCCAAACAAUUGAGGCUAACUUAGCUAGCGAGUGAGGGAGAAAUGGCUGAUACCAUAGCUGAUACAAGGAGGCUAUUCUCCAAGCCUCAGAACUUGAAUGACGCGUAUGGACCACCUAGUAACUUUCUAGAGAUAGACGUGAGCAACCCGGAGACGGUCGGUGUCGGCAGGACCAGGUUUACCACGUAUGAAAUCAGACUAAAGACCAACUUGCCCAUCUUCAAGUUGAAGGAGUCUCGUGUGCGGAGACGGUACAGUGACUUUCAGUGGCUCAGAGGGGAGCUAGAGAGAGACAGCAAGGUGGUGGUACCCCCUCUCCCAGGGAAGGCUCUUUCCAGACAGCUGCCGUUCCGAGGGGACGAUGGGAUAUUUGACGAUUCUUUCAUCGAGGAGCGGAGAGCUGGGCUGGAGCAGUUCCUCAACAAACUGAACACAUACAGCAGGACGUCUACUCCUUCGUUCUCCUUCAUAAUUGCCUAGUAAAGGAACAAGAACAGCCAAAGAGGCCGCAAGUGCGUCCCUUAGUACUUGUUUUUUUCUAUGUGUAAUUUAUGAUAAUUGAGUCUCAAGUUACAGCGAACGGUUCCUCGAUAGGUGGUGUGUGCACCCCUGCUUAUUUUUUUACCCAAGGUGUUCUCACUCCCACGUGGAGAACAAUAAAAGUUACAGUGGGCCUGUUAUUAUUUGCUUUGAUUGCAGACUUGGCUAUUAUCUUUGUUUCAUGUGCAAAUUAUACCUGUUAGAAUAUUAAGUAUGCCUAAAGACUAGCGAGAAGAGAAAAAAAGAGCGAAGAAUGUGUUGGUAAUUAAGAUUUUUUUUCCUCGAAUUAAAUGCUACUGUUGAUCAUGGCAUUGUUCAGACUUAAUAGCUGCACAGCAGAGUGGAGUUGGUUCGCUCUGCUGUUAUGAACUGUGAUUGAGUGUAUUGUGGAGAGGAAAACCAUUUACCUAGAGGUAAACAUGGUUAUCAUGUCUAAACAACCCAUCAGAGGAGGAGAGAACAGCACAGUGAAGUUUUAAGGGAAGUUUGCAGGCGAUAUUGUUCAAAAACAAAAGGCGAGAAUAUAGUCAGAGUUAGGAUGGAGGAGUGGGUACAGGGUUAGAUGCGAUCAGGGGCCAGCUUAUUUACGCUUUUAAUUCAACUCCAUAAAAAAAUAUAAAUGUCAGUUUUGAUUGAGUCAUGGAGUGUCAGGAGGGGGGCUCAACUUGCUCAUCUAAUGGCAAAUGGAAGCCUCCUCAAAUCCUCCACAAUGUUUCUGUUGUACAUGAACCCUUGGUCAUGCUUGCCCUUCAGAAAUAUUUCCCUUUUAAGAAUGUAACUGAGUACAUAGGAUGAUGAGAGUACGUCUGUCAUUGGAAAUUGGUCUGUUAAGAGGAAGUAUAUUAUUUUUGGUCUCAGGUGCCCUUUCACUUUUUUGCUCUCUUUCUCCUCUUCUUUCCCCCUCCAUCUUUCUCUUUCUUUCUUCUCUUUUGCUUCAAUCUCCCCAUCCCUCUCCCUGACCUUGAUGGUAAUUAUGAGCAGGUUUCCAGAAUCCUUUCCUCUUCAUCAAAUUCUCUGCCUCCUGCUUCAGAUGUAACAUGGGGACUUUAUGAAUUUAAAGACAGAGUGGCUGGUCACCCCUUGGCCCAGAACGAGCGCUGUCUGCACAUGUUUCUACAGGACGAGUCUGUGGACAAGACCUAUACCCCCUCCAAAAUACGACAAGCCUAAGAGAAGCGGGCCACCACGCGGCCCAGCCCCGGUCUAUACUCGGCCAGGCCCCGCUCCACAACCCAAAGCUCUCUGUUCUGCUAACGGUCCUGCUCUGCUCCGACCACAAACACUUGUAUAAUCUUCAUUCUUCUUUUGUUUGCAAUCACUUUCUUUCUUUUGUCUUUUAUCUCCGUGUUGAUUAGCGAUCUCAUGUAGUGCUCGUUUUCAACUCUCGAUUGGAUCAAACUAGGAAAUGGUCUACAUGUAAAAACUGUGGUUGAAAAUAAUGUAUCAUUGUUUUUGUCUCAAUGCCACUACCUUGAGUAUUUUACAGUAUGUUAUCUAUAUUUAUCAGUGAGGUAUGUCUUGGAUAUUCAUUUUUAAAGAAAUAUAAAAAAUACCUUUCCAUGUAUGCAAACCUCAUGUUAAAACCCCAUACAUUACAGUGUUGUUUUUACUCAAUGUCCAAUUGGAAUGAUUGUCCUUGGCACACUUUGUCCCUGACUCUGAAAAUCACCCUUUGUGGACGGUCCAUCACUACCAUGAACUGAAGCAUGUGUGUGUCUGUGUACGACCAGCCAGCACUUCCACUGUUCGUUAGCCUGUAAAUUAUUUUAUGAGAAAAAAUGCACCAGAGAGGGGAACCCCACAGCAUUUCUACCAACUGACCAUGUGUUUAUGAAAUGUGUAUACUGCUGUGCCAUUUUGUUAUUUUGAAAAUGUUCCAAUAAAAUAGGUCAAACGCA